RNAcentral lists this ribosomal RNA (254 nucleotides) under uncultured bacterium. RNAcentral describes it as "partial 16S ribosomal RNA". It matches the Rfam family "Bacterial small subunit ribosomal RNA", at positions 524 to 776 of the family's 1533-position model. The record is from RNAcentral.
GACGUAGGAUGCGAGCGUUGUUCGGAUUUAUUGGGCGUAAAGCGAGCGUAGGUGGCUAGUUAAGUCUGGUGUUAAAGCUAGAGGCUCAACCUCUGUGAUGCACUGGAAACUGGCUGGCUUGAGUAUGGUAGGGGAAGGUGGAAUUCCGAGUGUAGCGGUGAAAUGCGUAGAUAUUCGGAGGAACACCGGUGGCGAAAGCGGCAUCCUGGACCAACACUGACGCUGAGUGAGCGAAAGCCAGGGGAGCAAACGGG